AUAUGUAUGUAUAUUAUAUUUUGAGAGCAGUAGGAUUUUCCUUCUCAAUUUAAUUCCCUUCUCUCCCCUUGUCCCAUUGCUUUUUGAAUUUCAGAGAACAUUCCUUUCCCUGAACAUGUCUCAUUCCAUGAUGGGAUGCCAUGAGCAUCAUAAACAGAGGCCAUGAAAAUAUGAGGAAAACACAAAAUUCUGAAAUUUUAUUGAGUUCAGCAAUCAGAUUUAAUGAGAAUCUUUGUAUCUUCUCCUUUUGUAAAUCCCAUAUUGCAGGCAACAUUGAGGCUGGGAGACCAGGGGAGAUUCAGUCAUUUGCUCUUCUAAGUCUUUGAUUGCAUCUGCUCUAGGAUUGAGCCUCACUGUCUUUCUUCAGUCAUAUUCUUCUGUGCACAUGGUAACAAUUGAUGUGUCCCUCUGCCUGUCAUGUAUCUCUCAUUAGCUGUUCAACUCACCCUGAGCUUGUAAAAUAGACAACAAAAUGAACAAGGAUCAGUCAGAAAUAUGACUUUUGAAUUCUUUUCUCCCCGACCAGCGAUCUGAUUCCAAAAGAGUAUUGGUAUCCUCCUUUCCUAUGCCUGAAGUUGCAUUAUGAUCCAACCAGAAGGAGAGCAUAGGGGCAAUCACAAAGAGCAGCUGACAGCUUUGAUGGCUACACAAAGAACAGCAAGGAAAGGAUACUCUAACAAAGGCAAUGGAAGGUCUACAGAUAAUGCUUCAGGACAGUCAUAUCCAUUGGGAAAGUGGGUCCAGAAUAGAAGAGGGAAGGAGGGAGCUGUCCAGUGAGAUAAGGAGUCUUCUGUUUGGAAGAAGGAAACUUGGAGAAAGUUCUCCAUGGCAAGGAGAGGGAGUACUGCUCAGUCAACUGUCACAACUACUUGUUUUAAAAGGAUAA
This 886-nucleotide long non-coding RNA is filed under the name Monodelphis domestica (gray short-tailed opossum). RNAcentral's name for it is "lncRNA (ENSMODG00000047365.1)". The record is from RNAcentral. Lineage: Eukaryota; Metazoa; Chordata; Mammalia; Didelphimorphia; Didelphidae.